AGAACGAACGCUGGCGGCAUGCCUAACACAUGCAAGUCGAACGAGACCUUCGGGUCUAGUGGCGCACGGGUGCGUAACGCGUGGGAAUCUACCCUUGGGUUCGGAAUAACAGUUGGAAACGACUGCUAAUACCGGAUGAUGACGUUAAGUCCAAAGAUUUAUCGCCCAGGGAUGAGCCCGCGUAGGAUUAGCUAGUUGGUGAGGUAAAGGCUCACCAAGGCGACGAUCCUUAGCUGGUCUGAGAGGAUGAUCAGCCACACUGGGACUGAGACACGGCCCAGACUCCUACGGGAGGCAGCAGUGGGGAAUAUUGGACAAUGGGCGAAAGCCUGAUCCAGCAAUGCCGCGUGAGUGAUGAAGGCCUUAGGUUGUAAAGCUCUUUUAACCGGGAAGAUAAUGACUGUACCGGAGAAUAAGCUCCGCUAACUCCGUGCCAGCAGCCGC
RNAcentral lists this ribosomal RNA (444 nucleotides) under uncultured soil bacterium. Its description in RNAcentral is "bacterial SSU rRNA". It matches the Rfam family "Bacterial small subunit ribosomal RNA", at positions 26 to 518 of the family's 1533-position model. The record is from RNAcentral.